GACGAACGCUGGCGGCGUGCCUAAUACAUGCAAGUCGAGCGGACCGAAAGGAGAGCUCGCUCUCCUUUCGGUCAGCGGCGGACGGGUGAGUAACACGUGGGUAACCUGCCUGUAAGACCGGGAUAACUCGCGGAAACGCGAGCUAAUACCGGAUAGGUCCCGUGGCCGCAUGGCGACAGGAGGAAAGAUGGCGCGAGCUAUCGCUUACAGAUGGGCCCGCGGCGCAUUAGCUAGUUGGUGGGGUAACGGCCCACCAAGGCGACGAUGCGUAGCCGACCUGAGAGGGUGAUCGGCCACAUUGGGACUGAGACACGGCCCAAACUCCUACGGGUGGCAG
This 337-nucleotide ribosomal RNA is filed under the name uncultured Bacillota bacterium. RNAcentral describes it as "bacterial SSU rRNA". It matches the Rfam family "Bacterial small subunit ribosomal RNA", at positions 28 to 351 of the family's 1533-position model. The record is from RNAcentral. Lineage: Bacteria; Bacillati; Bacillota.